AGUCGAGCGCGGGAAGCAAGCUGAUCCCUUCGGGGUGACGCUUGUGGAACGAGCGGCGGACGGGUGAGUAACACGUGGGCAACCUACCUGUAAGACUGGGAUAACUCCGGGAAACCGGGGCUAAUACCGGAUGAUACUUUUUACCACAUGGUGAGAAGAUGAAAGAUGGCUUCGGCUAUCACUUACAGAUGGGCCCGCGGCGCAUUAGCUAGUUGGUGGGAUAACGGCCUACCAAGGCAACGAUGCGUAGCCGACCUGAGAGGGUGAUCGGCCACACUGGGACUGAGACACGGCCCAGACUCCUACGGGAGGCAGCAGUAGGGAAUCUUCCGCAAUGGACGAAAGUCUGACGGAGCAACGCCGCGUGAGUGAUGAAGGUUUUCGGAUCGUAAAACUCUGUUGUUAGGGAAGAACAAGUACCGUUUAAAUAAGGCGGUACCUUGACGGUACCUAACCAGAAAGCCCCGGCUAACUACGUGCCAGCAGCCGCGGUAAUACGUAGGGGGCAAGCGUUGUCCNGGAAUUAUUGGGCGUAAAGCGCGCGCAGGCGGCCUUUUAAGUCUGAUGUGAAAGUCUACGGCUUAACCGUAGAAGGCCAUUGGAAACUGGAGGGCUUGAGUGCAGAAGAGGAGAGUGGAAUUCCAUGUGUAGCGGUGAAAUGCGUAGAGAUAUGGAGGAACACCAGUGGCGAAGGCGACUCUCUGGUCUGCAACUGACGCUGAGGCGCGAAAGCGUGGGUAGCGAACAGGAUUAGAUACCCUGGUAGUCCACGCCGUAAACGAUGAGUGCUAGGUGUUAGGGGGUUUCCGCCCCUUAGUGCUGAAGUUAACGCAUUAAGCACUCCGCCUGGGGAGUACGGCCGCAAGGCUGAAACUCAAAAGAAUUGACGGGGGCCCGCACAAGCGGUGGAGCAUGUGGUUUAAUUCGAAGCAACGCGAAGAACCUUACCAGGUCUUGACAUCCUCUGACAACUCUAGAGAUAGAGCUUUCCCUUCGGGGACAGAGUGACAGGUGGUGCAUGGUUGUCGUCAGCUCGUGUCGUGAGAUGUUGGGUUAAGUCCCGCAACGAGCGCAACCCUUGAUCUUAGUUGCCAGCAUUAAGUUGGGCACUCUAAGGUGACUGCCGGUGACAAACCGGAGGAAGGUGGGGAUGACGUCAAAUCAUCAUGCCCCUUAUGACCUGGGCUACACACGUGCUACAAUGGAUGGUACAGAGGGCAGCGAAGCCGCGAGGUGAAGCAAAUCCCACAAAACCAUUCUCAGUUCGGAUUGCAGGCUGCAACUCGCCUGCAUGAAGCCGGAAUCGCUAGUAAUCGUGGAUCAGCAUGCCACGGUGAAUACGUUCCCGGGCCUUGUACACACCGCCCGUCACACCACGAGAGUUGACAACACCCGAAGUCGGUG
Molecule: ribosomal RNA, 1404 nt
Filed under: Paracerasibacillus soli
Lineage: Bacteria; Bacillati; Bacillota; Bacilli; Caryophanales; Bacillaceae
Description: bacterial SSU rRNA
Rfam family: Bacterial small subunit ribosomal RNA
Source: RNAcentral